GCUAAUUACUUAAUUUUAGACUCGAACUCGUUUAAACUCAGCUUGAUUCAAGCUUUUAACAAGCCGAUCUAGUACAACUCACGGAGAUCUCGACUCGUUUACACCGAUAGCGACCUCAAGGAUGAUAACCAAUCUUUGAUGCAAAAAAACACACACACAAGAAUACAUUGCAGGGUCUCCCGACGAAGGGAUCAGUAAAAGAAAACAUGAAACCUGUGGAUUUCAAACUACAAACAACGGCAAAAGAAAACACCAAAUCUAUGGAAGUUAAGCUCCAAACCAAAGAAAGAGCAGUUAAACGUGCUUUCUUUAACUACUCGGUUAGUUCAAGCGACGGUUUAUAGACAUCUAGCAACACUAUUUUUGUUUCUAAAUGUUACAAAACACUAAAUUACUACUAGAACUAAAACAACAAACCUUAAAUCGUUUAAUUUUUUUAUAACAGGUUCACAUUUUUUAAAUUUUAUACUUCUUAGUUACAUAACCUACACAUGUAUAUAUAUGCAUUGAUUUUCUAAACGCGUAGACGAUUUAUAUACAGGUAGCAACAAAGCUCUAUCUAAUGGAGCAACAAAAGAGACAAAUAGAGAGGAUACAAAAGGCAUGUAUAACUAAAACAUCUAUCUCUUUUUUGAAUUUGCAACCUUAAUAGAUAUUGACAUUUUUAUUGAUUACAAAACCGAAACUGGAACUGGAACCAGAUAAUCGAGGAAGAAGAAGUCCGAAUGUUAAGAAAGGAAAUGAUCCCACGAGCUCAGUUGAUGCCAUUAUUUGAUCGCCCUUUCGUUCCACGAAGGUUGCCACUAAAUCUAAAACAAAAUAUAUUGAUUGAUAUGUGUUCUUGCAGUUAGUUAAUGCUUAUUUUCUGUAGAUCUACAACUCCAACGAAAGUUGCGAAAAAGACAAGUUCACAAGAAAAGCAAAGAAACAGCUUUUCGAGCACAAGGGAAUUUUACGGUUUCAGAGAAAAUGAAGCACAUUGAUCACAAUCUGCAUUGAUCAUGUAUAGAACAAGCCAACUAAACUCAUGUUUGUUGGAGUGAUAACCAUUGAUGAGGUGUUUAGACUUAUAGAAGUGUGUUUUUUUUUUGUCUGAAGAACUGAACUUAAGUAGGAUGUUGUUGAAUAAAGUGUUAGGCUGUGGGCUGAAAAGAACCUUAUUUUUGACAGUUUGGUUUGUUUAUGUAAUCAUGUGUUGGUUUUGAAUGGAAACUUAUGGAUUUU
RNAcentral lists this long non-coding RNA (1224 nucleotides) under Helianthus annuus (common sunflower). Its description in RNAcentral is "hypothetical non coding rna". The record is from RNAcentral. Lineage: Eukaryota; Viridiplantae; Streptophyta; Magnoliopsida; Asterales; Asteraceae.